AAGACUGACCACCGAUCACCACAAAACAAACCAAAAUCAAGAAAGAGAGAGAGAAAAGAACAAAAGUCCAAGAAAACGAUCAAAAACCAAGCCCAAAAAGAAUAGAACAAAAAAAAAAAAGAACAAAAAAAAAUUAUUAAUCACAAGAGAAAUUCUCAAUCAAAAGAAAGAGAAAAAAGAACAUAAAACCACAACUUAGAAGAUGAAUUUUGAAGAAAUUCACAAACUAGAUGCAACCAUACUUACGAAUUUAUAAUCUAACAACUAAAUUAAACACUUUAAUUGCGAGAACAAUUAAAAAAACGUUAAUCACAAACGAAUGAGGAAAUAAAAACAUUGGAACAUUUUUCCAACUAACAAACUGAGUUUUCCCUCCAAUACCAGAGGGCAGCGCAUUCGUCGUUCAGAAAUCAAAUUACAAGAUUAAAAACUAAUUCUAAUUGAUUAAAUUAAAUUGUUCUUUUAAUUGUGUUAAGUAGUUUAACUAUUUAUGGAUAAAUUUGUGUUCCAAGUGUCUACUGAUUACAAUUACAUCUGUAAAGGUUGUAUUUAUGUUUCUACCUCGUUUGUGAGCCGCUUUAACGGUUAACCCCUUUAGAUGAAUAUGAAAAUUUAUCUUCAUUUGAAUGUUUUCAUUUUCUUGAAUAGAAUUUAUGUUUUUCUAUUAAAUUGUGAUUCGUGAUUUACAAUUAUUUUUAAUAUUUAAAUAAUGUUAAUAAUCAGUUAACUAUAUUCUUCUUCUGAUAACUCUGGACGAGAGAAAUUUUUGGCAACAAUUUUGGUCCGAGAAGCAGCAGCAAGAAACCAUCCUUGUGAUCCAGGCGUUUGAAUGGCUCCUAUUACAUGAUUGGAAUGGAAAAGAAAAGAAAUUGAAAAAAAAGGAAAAAUCAGAAUUUGAUCAAUUUGGAUUAUUCUUUAAUCCUCCGGCAUUGUGAUUAGAUUAUCCUGUUUUUUAUAUUCUUUCUUUAAAUUAUCACUCCGCUAAUGUGAACACAUCAUGAUCCAUGUUAAUUUGGUGACAUAAUCACUUUUGUGAUCAAUGAAAGUGGUCACAUUAAUAUUUUGAUUGUUCUCAAAAUUUAAUUUCUCAGGACAUUUAUCACAAUAGCUUUUAGAUAAUCUACUCAAUAUCUAAUUGAUAAUUACAAGAAGAAAAAAACUCAUUCCUACUCUUAUUGUUAUUCCCAAUUAAUACAAUCACAAUUAUCUGUUGGAAAAAAAUAGCAAAUUCUUAAUUGUAAAUAAUUCUCACCGUAAUCAUACUAAUCAUUGUGCUUAAUCAUCUCACUAAUCAAUUGUGUCUAUCGCAUGUGAAGCAGGAAAAUCAAAUCAAAUGUCAACCAACACAUAAAUCAUUAUAUGAUUUACAUUGGAUUAUUUGUCUUAUUGUGAUUAACCAACAACAAUCAAACCAUUCAACCCUAAUAACACAAUUAACUGUUGAACAAAA
Panonychus citri (citrus red mite) is the source of this 1450-nucleotide long non-coding RNA. RefSeq lists it as uncharacterized. The transcript has 2 exons. The record is from RefSeq and is a predicted model, not a curated record. NCBI's taxonomy places the organism in Eukaryota, Metazoa, Arthropoda, Arachnida, Trombidiformes, Tetranychidae.